GACGAACGCUGGCGGCGUGCCUAAUACAUGCAAGUCGAGCGCAGGAAAUCGACGGAACCCUUCGGGGGGAAGUCGAUGGAAUGAGCGGCGGACGGGUGAGUAACACGUAAAGAACCUGCCCUCAGGUCUGGGAUAACCACGAGAAAUCGGGGCUAAUACCGGAUGGGUCAUCGGACCGCAUGGUCCGAGGAUGAAAGGCGCUUCGGCGUCGCCUGGGGAUGGCUUUGCGGUGCAUUAGCUAGUUGGUGGGGUAAUGGCCCACCAAGGCGACGAUGCAUAGCCGGCCUGAGAGGGUGAUCGGCCACACUGGGACUGAGACACGGCCCAGACUCCUACGGGAGGCAGCAGUAGGGAAUCUUCCACAAUGGACGAAAGUCUGAUGGAGCAACGCCGCGUGAACGAUGAAGGCCUUCGGGUCGUAAAGUUCUGUUGUAAGGGAAGAACAAGUGCCGCAGGCAAUGGCGGCACCUUGACGGUACCUUGCGAGAAAGCCACGGCUAACUACGUGCCAGCCGCCGCGGUAA
RNAcentral lists this ribosomal RNA (524 nucleotides) under uncultured bacterium. Its description in RNAcentral is "partial 16S ribosomal RNA". It matches the Rfam family "Bacterial small subunit ribosomal RNA", at positions 28 to 523 of the family's 1533-position model. The record is from RNAcentral.